CAGGACUACUCAUAAUCUUUGUCUUCUUCGUCAUCUGGCUUGAAAGCUGGCAUUUGAUUACAAGAAUAUGCAGCGAUCAUUCGUGUAACAUGCAAGCUGAAGAAUCGGUCAUAUUGAACGAGUCCACCAGACUUAGCUGACGUAGAAGAAGAAUUGCAGUCAUUAUUAUUUAGUAUUGCGCCAGCUUCUAAUUUUUUUUCAUUGCUCUGGUCACAAAUAGGUCGGCUGAUGGAAGAAAAAACAAUACAGCAUUAGACGGAUGUAUAAACGAUUGAUUGGAUGAUGCAGGAUUUAGCGGAAGGGUAAAAAUAAAAAAUAUAAGCAAUAUUUAUAAUAAUAAUAACCUGGUCACGAAGAGAAAAAAGUCGUAUGAGAGAUCUUCAAAUCGGUCUUUAUUUUCUAGUAACCAAUUGCUCAGGUAGUGUAAGCUUGCAUUGGAAUGAUAACAGGAUGUUUCCCAUAGAGGCAUUUUCUGUGUUUCCGCGAUCAUCUGUGUAACAUGCAAUUUUGCAUUCCAAUUGCCAUAAUAAAGGAGUCCGCCCGAUGGAUAACCCGAAGUAUCUUUGUUUAUGCAAUCUAUAUUUUUCGGAAUAUAAUAUGCAGGCCCGUCCAAUGAUCCAUUAUAUGUAGCACAUAAUUGUUUCCUUAUAGACAAAACAAAUAGUUAUAUGUUAA
Molecule: long non-coding RNA, 675 nt
Organism: Microplitis mediator
Lineage: Eukaryota; Metazoa; Arthropoda; Insecta; Hymenoptera; Braconidae
Exons: 4
Source: RefSeq, a predicted model, not a curated record